AAAAGGAUGGCUACACACAGAGCAGCUUUUGUAUAGCUAUACCAUUUAUCUUGGACCUGGCAAUUGAGACUAAAGAAAGGUGUUAUCAGACAAAAGUAGUGCUUUGGGAAGUAGGAAGAAGACACCUUGGGUGCAAAAAAAUGCCAUGAAGAAUUGAAAUGGUUGAAGCUCAUAUUAGAGUACUUGUUUCAGACAUCUGUCUUGCUCUUCAGCCCCUACUUUUACCAAGAGAGAGGAGGAAAAGUCUAGAGAGCAAACAGACUCAAGAAAACAAACCUGAGCUUGGGACAAAAACAAUCUUACAGUAUUGAUAAAGCUCAAGCAUUGAGAAAGAAAAGCAAAAAGAGGCCUAUCUGUAACACAAGAGUGAAAGGAGGAGGAUGACUGGAGUUUCACAGCUGCUUUAAUACAACUGGUUUCACUUAGAGAAGAUGACAUGUUGAAAUGUGAUGAGUAAAGAUGUGCAGAAUGCUUCCCCAGUAAUUGGAAUUCAAGCAACAAUAACACUGGGCAUUGUUGGAUCCUUUACAACUUUAAGAAAAAGGUCUCCUUCCUUCAUUUUGGAAAAAAGCGCACAUAUUAUAGAACAUCAUGACUUUAUUCAACAUUAAAAAGAGAAAUUAAAAAUUAUUU
This 633-nucleotide long non-coding RNA is filed under the name Homo sapiens (human). RNAcentral's name for it is "non-protein coding lnc-NIFK-1:3". The record is from RNAcentral. Lineage: Eukaryota; Metazoa; Chordata; Mammalia; Primates; Hominidae.